UCGAGCUUGCUCACAGGCACAUCAUAUCCAUAACACCUGUGCACUUGUCGGAUGGCUUAGUGAAGACCGCAAGGUUGGAUCUAUCCAUCUACUUUACAUAACAAUUCUGUAACAAAUGUAGUCUUAUUAUAACAUAAUAAAACUUUCAACAACGGAUCUCUUGGCUCUCGCAUCGAUGAAGAACGCAGCGAAAUGCGAUAAGUAAUGUGAAUUGCAGAAUUCAGUGAAUCAUCGAAUCUUUGAACGCACCUUGCGCUCCUUGGUAUUCCGAGGAGCAUGCCUGUUUGAGUGUCAUGAAAACCCUCAACCCUAGAUUGGUUAAAACCUUUCUUUGGUUUGGAUUUGGACGUUUGCCGAUGAUAAGUCGGCUCGUCUUAAAAGUAAUAGCUGGAUCUGUCUCGCGACAUGGUUUGACUUGGCGUAAUAAGUAUUUCGCUAAGGACAUCUUCGGAUGGCCGCGUUGCAGGACUAAAGACCGCUUUCUAAUCCAUUGAUCUUACGAUUAAUAUUCUUGACAUCUGGCCUCAAAUCAGGUAGGACUACCCGCUGAACUUAAGCAUAUCAAUAAGCGGAGGAA
RNAcentral lists this ribosomal RNA (577 nucleotides) under Naganishia albida. RNAcentral describes it as "eukaryotic LSU rRNA". The stretch from base 141 to 294 matches the Rfam family "5.8S ribosomal RNA". Lineage: Eukaryota; Fungi; Basidiomycota; Tremellomycetes; Filobasidiales; Filobasidiaceae. The record is from RNAcentral.